UAACCUGAGGACAAAGACUACAUUGCUAGC
This 30-nucleotide non-coding RNA is filed under the name Homo sapiens (human). The record is from RNAcentral. Lineage: Eukaryota; Metazoa; Chordata; Mammalia; Primates; Hominidae.